This 532-nucleotide ribosomal RNA is filed under the name Thiomicrospira sp. RNAcentral describes it as "partial 16S ribosomal RNA". It matches the Rfam family "Bacterial small subunit ribosomal RNA", at positions 346 to 869 of the family's 1533-position model. The record is from RNAcentral. Lineage: Bacteria; Pseudomonadati; Pseudomonadota; Gammaproteobacteria; Thiotrichales; Piscirickettsiaceae.
AGGCAGCAGUGGGGNAUAUUGCANAAUGGACGCAAGUCUGAUGCAGCCAUACCGCGUGUGUGAAGAAGGCCNGAGGGUUGUAAAGCACUUUCAGUAGGGAGGAAGAUAAUAGUAUUAAUACUGCUAUAGUUUGACGUUACCUACAGAAGAAGCACCGGCUAACUNUGUGCCAGCAGCCGCGGUAAUACAGAGGGUGCAAGCGUUAUUNGGNNUUNNUGGGNGUAAANNNNGCGUAGGCGGAUNAUUAANUCAGUUGUGAAAGCCCUGGGCUCAACCUAGGAACUGCAUCUGAUACUGGUCGUCUAGAGUUUAAGAGAGGGAAGUGGAAUUCCAGGUGUAGCAGUGAAAUGCGUAGAUAUCUGGAGGAACAUCAGUGGCGAAGGCGACUUCCUGGCUUAAAACUGACGCUGAGGUGCGAAAGCGUGGGUAGCGAACGGGAUUAGAUACCCCGGUAGUCCACGCCGUAAACGAUGUCAACUAGUUGUUGGUCUUAUUAAAAAGAUUAGUAACGAAGCUAACGCGAUAAGUUGAC